RNAcentral lists this ribosomal RNA (253 nucleotides) under uncultured bacterium. RNAcentral's name for it is "partial 16S ribosomal RNA". It matches the Rfam family "Bacterial small subunit ribosomal RNA", at positions 524 to 776 of the family's 1533-position model. The record is from RNAcentral.
UACGGAGGGUGCGAGCGUUGUCCGGAAUCACUGGGCGUAAAGGGCGCGUAGGCGGCGCGGGGAGUCAACAGUGAAAGCUCGGCGCUCAACGCCGAGUCGGCCGUCGAUACUCCCGUGCUUGAGCACUGUAGAGGCAGGUGGAAUUCCGGGUGUAGCGGUGGAAUGCGUAGAGAUCCGGAAGAACACCGGUGGCGAAGGCGGCCUGCUGGGCAGUAGCUGACGCUGAGGCGCGACAGCGUGGGGGGCAAACAGG